AACGAACGCUGGCGGCGUGCCUAACACAUGCAAGUCGAACGCGAAAAGCAGUAAUGCUGAGUAGAGUGGCGCGACGGGUGAGUAACACGUAAAUGACAUGUCCUCGAGACGGGAAUAACCAGCCGAAAGGCUGGCUAAUACCCGGUAAGCCCACGUCUUUGGAGAUGAGGGAAAAGGGUCGGGAAUUUUCGAAUCCGAUCGCUUGAGGAGUGGUUUGCGGCCCAUCAGGUAGUUGGCGAGGUAAAAGCUCACCAAGCCUAAGACGGGUAGCUGGUCUGAGAGGAUGAUCAGCCACACUGGAACUGAGACACGGUCCAGACUCCUACGGGAGGCAGCAGUGGGGAAUCUUGCGCAAUGGGAGCAAUCCUGACGCAGCAACGCCGCGUGGGUGAUGAAGGUCUUCGGAUCGUAAAGCCCUGUCGGAGGGGAAGAUGCUUGGAACGUCUAAUAGAUGAGCCAGGUGACGGUACCCUCAAAAGGAAGCACCGGCUAAACUCUGUGCCAG
RNAcentral lists this ribosomal RNA (505 nucleotides) under uncultured bacterium. Its description in RNAcentral is "bacterial SSU rRNA". It matches the Rfam family "Bacterial small subunit ribosomal RNA", at positions 29 to 511 of the family's 1533-position model. The record is from RNAcentral.